This 760-nucleotide long non-coding RNA is filed under the name Marmota monax (woodchuck). The record is from RNAcentral. Lineage: Eukaryota; Metazoa; Chordata; Mammalia; Rodentia; Sciuridae.
UGGUUUUUAACAUCUGAAACUUGUGUGUUAUGUUGUUUAAUGUUUUCCUUUUAUUCCUGAGAUGCUUCAUUUAUUCAGGACAUUUUCUUUUUCUUUCUUAGAAAUGUCUAAGACAGACCUAUCAACUAAGCUGGAAUCUACUCUUUGGAAAUAUCUUCCUUGUACUCCCAAAUUUUCUCCUAUUAAUGUGGCAUAUGUUUCAGUAUAUCUAUGCUAUUUUCUUUUUACGUAUAUACACAAACAUGCACAUGUAUGUAAAUAUAGGUACAUAUAUGUAUAAUGUUUUCAUCUGAAUCAGUUACUUUUGUCACAUAUGUGGCCAAUCCAAUAUCCAUUCCCUCUUCUUUAUUGCUAAAAAAGUCCUGACCUUGUUUUAAGAAAAAUAAACAAAAAACUCUGUUCUAACUUCUCCUGUAGUUGUAAGCAAAAGUUAUUAGAUUGAGUUUCUCAGAUAAUUCUUUAAAAAUGCAGGGUGAGGGCAGGGCCAGACUCAGUAAGCAGGUAUUCUUUUGGCCUUUCUCCACUUUCCAUCUGGAAUGUGGAUGUGGUGCCACAUGUGAAGCAUUGAAGCAUUUAUCUUAAAACCAUGCAUUUACCAUGAAAGGAUGAAUAGGAAGUUUGCUAUAUUAAAUUAAAAUAGAAGAUUUUAAGUUUCUAUUUUGUGAAAGCAAUUUGGCAAAAAAAAAAAAUUCUACCUAUAUAUACAUGAAAUGUAUAGUAGAAUUUUAAUUUUCUUCAUUGUAAUUAAACUCAAAUCGGU